CCUACGGGAGGCAGCAGUGGGGAAUAUUGCACAAUGGGGGAAACCCUGAUGCAGCGACGCCGCGUGAGCGAAGAAGUAUUUCGGUAUGUAAAGCUCUAUCAGCAGGGAAGAAAAUGACGGUACCUGAGUAAGAAGCUCCGGCUAAAUACGUGCCAGCAGCCGCGGUAAUACGUAUGGAGCAAGCGUUAUCCGGAUUUACUGGGCGUAAAGGGAGCGUAGGCGGGAGAGCAAGUCAGACGUGAAAUUCCAGGGCUCAACCCUGGAACUGCGUUUGAAACUGUUCUUCUUGAGUGAUGGAGAGGCAGGCGGAAUUCCGUGUGUAGCGGUGAAAUGCGUAGAUAUACGGAGGAACACCAGUGGCGAAGGCGGCCUGCUGGACAUUAACUGACGCUGAGGCGCGAAAGCGUGGGGAGCAAACAGGAUUAGAUACCCCGGUAGUC
Molecule: ribosomal RNA, 440 nt
Filed under: uncultured bacterium
Lineage: Bacteria
Description: partial 16S ribosomal RNA
Rfam family: Bacterial small subunit ribosomal RNA
Source: RNAcentral